GUAAACAGAUCCCACCCAAGUCUCGGUCCGAUUACGCCCGAACCUGACCGCAAACAGAUCCCUUCCCCGAGCCCCCGAGCCUCCAACCCUUCCCCUCCGCCGCCUCCAGCCCUCGUCUGCCCUUCGCUGAUCUCCUUCUCCGGCUACCCCCGUCGGCGUCGGAGGCGUCGAGGCCGACUUCCCCGGCGUCAAGAAGAAGCCCGCCCGCUCCUUCCCCGACACGGCGACACCUCAAGCUUCAGGGCUGUAGUUAGGUCACCUGACCGUCCGCUCCUUCUUCCCCACGCGUACGCCGUCGGAUCGACCAGAUCUUGUGGUUUUUCACCGGACACCUCUCCUCCUUUCAGUUUCCCAGGUCCUUGCGCAAGAUCUCAAGCCUGGACAUCCACAUCGUGCUGGCCUGCGUGGGGGUUCAAAGAGGACGUGUGUGUGUGUCAGAUCCAGCACCUCACUGUUCAGUGCCAGAGCCAUCUAGUCGUCCUCGUUCUUGCCGUCGAGAAGCAGCACCGGCCAUGCUACCAGAUUAGGAUCUGAAGUGUACUGUAUUUUCGCUUAUCAACCUCCACUUUCACAUUCUUUUUCCCAACAGUGGUUCAUCGGUUGUCCUGCUCAUUCCUCUCCUCCCCCAUCGGUUGUUAUGGCCCGUCUUCCCUUAAGCGCGAGACGUCGAAGAAGAAAUGUAGCAUUUAUUAAUCUGAUGAGUGCCAUUAUGCUUGUAUACUAUUAUGUGUGGUUAAUCUUUGGAUUAGUUUAUAGAAGAAAGUGUUGGCAAAUAGAAAGGAGGCUUAGAAUUAGAGAGCUAAGAGGAGAGAAUUUGUAUAAACUAAUUGGUGAGAGUGACACAGCAUGUAUAAGUCAACUUCGUAUGGAUAGGAGAACAUUUCAUAUAUUAUGUGAGAUGGUGAGAGAUGUUGGUGGCCUAAGGGGUACAAGGAAUACAUCAUUGGAGGAGAUAGUGGCAUCAUUCCUUUAUGUAUUAGCUCACCAUUUCAAAAAUAGGACAGUAAGGAAAUUCUUUUACCGAAGCCCGGAGCCAGUUAGUAGGAACUUCAAUGCUUGUCUUCUAGCUGUUUUGAAGCUUCAUCCAUUGCUACUUAAGAAACCAGAACCUAUACCCGAGGACUUCACAGAUGGUAAAUGGAAAUAUUUCAAGAAUUGUCUUGGAGCGUCAGAUGGCACACACGUAGGGGUAACCGUCCCAGCUACUAUGAAAGGAAGAUACCGAUCAAGGUUGGGUGAUGUAAAUACAAAUGUGUUAGGUGUGUGUGCACCUGACAUGCAGUUCAUUUACAUACUACCUGGUUGGGAGGGUUCUGCACAUGAUGGUCGUGUUCUUAGAGAUGCUAUCUCAAGGCCAAAUGGGUUGCGUGUCCCUGAAGAUCAAUAUUAUCUUGUCGAUGCUGGUUACACAAAUGCGAAAGGAUUUUUAGCUCCAUACCGUGGUCAAAGGUAUCACUUGGGUGGUUGGACAGCACAGAACCCACCUCGUAGUGCAGAGGAGUAUUACAACAUGCGGCAUGCCAGAGCCCGAAAUAUUGUAGAAAGGUCUUUCGAAAGACUCAAGGGUCAGUGGGCGAUUUUGAGGUCCCCGUCCUUUUUUCCUAUGAAGAUCCAAUGUCGAAUCAUCAUGGCAUGUGCACUCUUGCACAAUUUAAUCUUGCAAAAUAUGCCGCUUGACCCACUUGAUAAUGACGAGCCAAUAAUACAAGAAACAUUGGAAGGCAUGGAGGGAGAAUUAGGCCAACCAGAAUUCAUUACUUCUAUCUCAACUUCGAACGAAUGGACAAAUUUCCGGAAUGUUCUUGCGCAAGACAUGUAUAAUAGACAUAGGGCUGCUAGGGGUCAUUGAGAUAUGGAUGUGGACACCUCAAGUACGUCUCGUGGAAGAGGCAAGAAUAAAAGGAAGUGGACUUCGGAUGAGGAUGAUGAACUUAUUAAAGCCUUGUAUGAGUUGUCUUUGGACCCAAGGUGGAAGGCAGAUGGUAGCUUCAAAAAUGGAUACCUGGUGGUAUUGGAGAAGCACCUUGCUGAAAAGUGCCCGGGUUGUGGUAUCUCUGCAAUUCCACACAUCGAGUCAAGAGUGAGGCACUUUAGGACAAAAUUUGGUGCUCUUGAAGUAAUGUUAUCCAAAAGUGGUUUCACAUGGGAUGGAAACUGGAAGAUGAUUCAAUGUGAGAAGGCACAGUAUGAAGCACAUUGUAAGAUUCAUAGUGAGGCAAAGGGAUUGUAUGGUGUCCUAUUUCCGUACUUUGAGCAGUUGGCUGCUAUUUAUGGCAAGGACAUAGCAACUGGAGAAAAUGCCGAAGGCUUUGGUGAGGCAGUGGGAAACUUGGAAAAUGAAAUUGCUAUAGAAGAAGAGGAACACGAGGAAGAGGACUUGAUCUCAACAGGGACAGCUAGACGGUCUGUCGAUACUCGCUCUAUGGAUGGAACUAGUUCCAAGAGGCAGAGGAAGGAACCAAGGCCAAAGAGGGUGACGGGACCAAGUGAUCCCUUUGCAGUGAUGCUUCAAGAUGUCAAUAGCCGGCUCAACAAUGUGACACAAUAUGUGGGUACAAUGGCAGCAUCAUUGUCAGCAUCAAUGGCACGAGAAGCAGCGUAAGAGGAUCCUCAGCAGAAAUCAAAAGAGAAGGCUAUUAGUGAAUUGGCUAGGCUUAGCUUUACCGGGAGCGAGAUCGUUGAGGCUGCAACCGUAUUUGCUAAAGCUCCAGAUCAGAUGAACAUGAUGCUUGCGCUUCCAGAAAAUCUGAGGGAGUAUGUCCUAAAAAUGCUCUCUGAUGAAAAAAAGAAGCACGGUUGAUUAGAAAAGAUGGGUGGUGUGGUUGAUCAGAGGAAUGGUCGAUGGAAAAGCUACUUUGCAAGAUUCUGAAAUUGGCCUUUGGACUUGCCUUGCAAAAUAAUUUUGGGGACUAAUUAUGUAGUUCAUCUCGAAUUGUUGUUGAAGUCUGAGUUUGUAUUAAUGAGUUAAUAUGCAUUUUAGAAGUGGUGUCAAAUUCUGGUUAAAGGAUGUCUUGGAUGAAUGCAAAAAUAUUUUUAAAUUAUGUACUUGUUUGAUGAGUUUGAAUCUGU
RNAcentral lists this ribosomal RNA (3069 nucleotides) under Triticum aestivum (bread wheat). RNAcentral's name for it is "partial small subunit ribosomal RNA". The record is from RNAcentral. Lineage: Eukaryota; Viridiplantae; Streptophyta; Magnoliopsida; Poales; Poaceae.